Molecule: ribosomal RNA, 490 nt
Filed under: Tritodynamia horvathi
Lineage: Eukaryota; Metazoa; Arthropoda; Malacostraca; Decapoda; Varunidae
Description: partial 16S ribosomal RNA
Rfam family: Bacterial large subunit ribosomal RNA
Source: RNAcentral
UUAAUAUAAUAUAUUAAAUGGCCGCGGUAUUUUGACCGUGCAAAGGUAGCAUAAUCGUUAGUUUUUUAAUUGGAAUCUUGUAUGAAUGGUUGGACAAAAGAAAAUCUGUCUCUAUAUUGGUUAUCGAAUUUAACUUUUAAGUGAAAAGGCUUAAAUAAAUUAAAGGGACGAUAAGACCCUAUAAAGCUUAAUAUUAAAAUUUUAUUUAGUUAAAUUUUAUACUAUAAAAACUUCGUAAUUAAAUUUAUUUUAUUGGGGCGAUAAAAGUAAAAUUAUUAUUACCUGCUUAAUUUUUAAUACAUAAAUUGAUGAUUAAAUUUUUAAAUGAUCCUAAAUAAAGAUUAAAAGUUUAAGUUACUUUAGGGAUAACAGCGUUAUUUUUCUUGAGAGUACUUAUCGAAAGAAAAGUUUGCGACCUCGAUGUUGAAUUAAAAUAUCUUUAUAAUUGUAGCAGUUAUAAUAGUAGGUCUGUUCGACCUUUAAAAUUUUA